AUAUUGAUUAAUAAAUGAU
RNAcentral lists this microRNA (19 nucleotides) under Corchorus olitorius. RNAcentral's name for it is "rgl-miR51". The record is from RNAcentral. Lineage: Eukaryota; Viridiplantae; Streptophyta; Magnoliopsida; Malvales; Malvaceae.